GAAACAUUUAGCAUUUUAGCAAUACAGCCUGUGCUGUGUGGAAUUUGUCUGGUCCCAAGCAUAUGGGCAAUACCCAGCUCUAGAUAUUAGUUGGAAUUUAUUUCUUGCAAUGCACUUUAUAACUGUACCAUUCUUGCAGGAAGGUUUGGGAUGAUCUCCUCUUUGUGCUGAGUGGUAACUUAUGUCACACACAUGGGACAUCAUGACAACCUUUUAACCAGCAGUUUCAGUGGAGCCAUGGAGUAAGUCCAGCACAGCUCACUACCUGUUUUCUGUCUCUGGAAGAAAGACUUGACACUCACCAUGAUAGGAUUCAAAAUAUUUGAUAAGGGAAUUUACUUCCUCCAGGAUUCGGAUCUCCAGGGUUCUCUUUCCCAUUCCAAAAUCUCGCAGUGUGGACAAGACCCUACCUCUGUCAGCGACUGGAACGGCUUUUUCAGGUCCACCACGUUCAAGUUUCCGAUCAGAGGAAGAGGCCGUGGCCCAGGAGGCAAACUGCAAACCGACUUCUUCGAGCUGGUGAGAAAGUAAAGAAGAGCAAACAGCCCUGCUGCCAAACAGAGCAGCGAGCUGGAGCCCACGUA
Pipra filicauda (Wire-tailed manakin) is the source of this 584-nucleotide long non-coding RNA. RefSeq lists it as uncharacterized. Lineage: Eukaryota; Metazoa; Chordata; Aves; Passeriformes; Pipridae. The transcript has 3 exons. The record is from RefSeq and is a predicted model, not a curated record.